AGAGUUUUGAUCCUGGCUCAGAACGAACGCUGGCGGCAUGCCUAACACAUGCAAGUCGAACGAAGGCUUCGGCCUUAGUGGCGCACGGGUGCGUAACGCGUGGGAAUCUGCCCUUGGGUUCGGGAUAACAGCGGGAAACUGCUGCUAAUACCGGAUGAUGACGUAAGUCCAAAGAUUUAUCGCCCAGGGAUGAGCCCGCGUAGGAUUAGCUAGUUGGUGGGGUAAAGGCCUACCAAGGCGACGAUCCUUAGCUGGUCUGAGAGGAUGAUCAGCCACACUGGGACUGAGACACGGCCCAGACUCCUACGGGAGGCAGCAGUGGGGAAUAUUGGACAAUGGGCGAAAGCCUGAUCCAGCAAUGCCGCGUGAGUGAUGAAGGCCUUAGGGUUGUAAAGCUCUUUUACCCGGGAAGAUAAUGACGGUACCGGGAGAAUAAGCCCCGGCUAACUCCGUG
This 454-nucleotide ribosomal RNA is filed under the name uncultured Sphingomonas sp. Its description in RNAcentral is "bacterial SSU rRNA". It matches the Rfam family "Bacterial small subunit ribosomal RNA", at positions 8 to 507 of the family's 1533-position model. Lineage: Bacteria; Pseudomonadati; Pseudomonadota; Alphaproteobacteria; Sphingomonadales; Sphingomonadaceae. The record is from RNAcentral.